CGUCCUGCGGGAGUCAUGAGAGAAACACGCUGCAUUGAAAGUGUUGUCAGAAUGAGAGACCAACAAUGAACUUGACACUUAUUGUUUUUAUUGUUUCUUCCUGUUAACUUGUCAGCAUGUGGCUGCAGAAAAUGGGGAGCGGUGACAAAGUGGACAAUAUGCAGUACAACGCUUGAAGCGUCCACGAAAGUAUGACUAAAGAGUUCUGCAGUGUUCCGGUUUCCAAUAACACUUGAGUAGGCGGAGGAGGAGCGACAUGGAUGAAACGGAGUCUUUUCAGAGCAAAAGUAAUCUGGAAGAUGCAAACUUGUUGUCUGGUCCGCCCACGCUCGCUCUCUCAACUCGCCAAGAAGUCUCGGCGUUGGACGCAUGGGAAAGAUGGGACGCAGAGUCCAUCUGGCCCGACGGCGGAGUCAGCCAGCGGAACAGAUGUGCGAGGGACUUUGAUGUAGAAAGCGGAUCACGGCAACGAAGAUGAUGUUUGAAGUGAGAAGAAUGAUGUUCAAUGAUGUUUGAAGUGAGAAGAAGAGUGAAGUUGACAGAAGAUGUGAGGAUGACCUGCGGCAGGAUCAGGACCAAACUGACAGCAGAUCAGUAAAAUGCCAGAUUCCCCACUAAGUUCUCAUGGGAAUGCAAUUCCUAAGCCCCGGGUGCUUUCACUUUGUGCUGGUGAACAUCAAAGCGUCUUCUCCAGAAUGGAAAGUGACUGCAGUCGACGACAUCAUCCACUUCGGGGUCGCUUCCUGUAAGGCGCGCAUGGCCGUAAUCAACCCGAGCUAAUUCCCCGAGCGUUCCGCUCUUUCGCCUCGCGUCCAUCCCGACUGAUGUGAAGUGGCAUCAAUUAAGUGGA
Phyllopteryx taeniolatus (common seadragon) is the source of this 850-nucleotide long non-coding RNA. RefSeq lists it as uncharacterized. The record is from RefSeq and is a predicted model, not a curated record. The transcript is spliced from 5 exons. Lineage: Eukaryota; Metazoa; Chordata; Actinopteri; Syngnathiformes; Syngnathidae.